Molecule: long non-coding RNA, 505 nt
Filed under: Pongo abelii (Sumatran orangutan)
Lineage: Eukaryota; Metazoa; Chordata; Mammalia; Primates; Hominidae
Description: lincRNA
Source: RNAcentral
GGCAGGAGGUGAAGGAGAUGGCACAUACAGAGGUACAGAACGGUGACUGAAACCACACGCCAUGUUGGGAGACUUCCAAACGAGUCUAGAGAGUUGGCACUUAGGGAUGAAGAAAUCAUCUUCUGGUCAGUGGCCCAGAGAAUGCUUUUGAUGAACAGAUGAUGAGUGACAAUGCAAGAUGAACUGUGACAAGGAUCCUGUGGGUUGUCAAAUGAGUUAAGAGGAAGGAAAAAUUCCUUUGGGCUGCUGAGGCCAAGACAAGCUUCAUUUCAAGCUUAGUCCUGAAGAUGAGUGGGAUUAAGAUAAAAAAUAAAGAAUGGAAAUGAGCAUGAACAAAAACGUGAUGGUGAAAGCAUACUUGCUAUUUUCAAAAGCCAGGAGCAGUGCUAUCAGAGGCAGGCAAACAGGCCUGGAAAAGAAGGUGCCAAGACAAGGAUAUCUUCGAAAUACAGGCUUGAGCAUUUAAUCUAAAGCCAGAAAAAAACAUUGGCUUCAACUGUCCAUC